RNAcentral lists this ribosomal RNA (350 nucleotides) under uncultured bacterium. RNAcentral's name for it is "bacterial SSU rRNA". It matches the Rfam family "Bacterial small subunit ribosomal RNA", at positions 956 to 1303 of the family's 1533-position model. The record is from RNAcentral.
AUAACGCGAAGAACCUUACCUACCCUUGACAUGGCUGGAAUCCUCGAGAGAUCGGGGAGUGCUCGAAAGAGAACCAGUACACAGGUGCUGCAUGGCUGUCGUCAGCUCGUGUCGUGAGACGUUGGGUUAAGUCCCGUAACGAGCGCAACCCUUGUCCUUAGUUACCAGCACGUAAUGGUGGGCACUCUAAGGAGACUGCCGGUGACAAACCGGAGGAAGGUGGGGAUGACGUCAAGUCCUCAUGGCCCUUAUGGGUAGGGCUUCACACGUCAUACAAUGGUACAUACAGAGCGCCGCCAACCCGCGAGGGGGAGCUAAUCCCAUAAAACCGAUCGUAGUCCGGAUCGCAG